CUCUCGCUCUCUAGCUGUAAGUUCAUUCGCUGUGGCGAGCAACAACUGUGCAAAGAGGAGGUUUGAUCCUGUUGUUGAGCAUCAUCCCUCCCUGAGAUGCUGCUGCUGCUGAUGCUGCUGCUACUGCAGCCUCAUCCACCUGCACAACUCCAUGGCUGGCUGGCUGGCUGGCUGGCUGGCUGACUGGCUGGCUGACACGUUAGGCGCUACUGCUACACGCUGGGACUGCGAGGGGGCUGCCUGCGCAUGGGGAACACCUGCCUGUGAACAAACGCUGCUGGUCGACACGCAGGCUGCUAACCCCAUUGCAAUCCCCCGCUCUCCACUGUGGACAACACAAAAACAAGGUGAUAUACCUUACAAUCACGGCAUGUCUUCUCUGAGGCAGGGGAUCAGACACCAGCCUGGCUAGUAGCUCUGUGGAAGGCUGUGCCUGGACCAACACUCACAGGGAGGUUUCAUUAUGUGUGGAUAUGCUGGUGUGGGGUGAGAGCGAAAGAGAGAGAGAGAGCAGGACAGGGCUAAAAUGGGCAUCUCUUCCUCCUUAUGGCUCGCUCCUGGAGGACAGGACCACCAGGACUUCCAAGGAGGGCAGGGCUUCAGACCACCUCUGGCCCAGAAAAACCUUUGAAGGGGCCUUGUGUUGUGCUUCAAGGCGUCUUCAAUCAAUUAUGUUGAUACAGCGUCUUUCUCUGUGUUGCUUGCCAUUGGGAUCGACUGAGGAAUUUGAUGAUGCGGUCACGCUUGCUUGCGAUUCCCAUUAUUGCCUCUCUGUGUUAAAGAUUCUCUUCGGUGACGGGUAUUCUUGGGUGUAUAAUACGGAUCACGUUGUUAUUGCUUAAGAAUACGCGUAGUCGAGGAGAGUCCUCUUCUUCUUCUUCGUCUGUCUUCGUCUGCAGCUGAGGACUAUUGAUCAGAUCGAAGCAGCUCAAAGUACACCCUUACCUGUUUCCUUUUAAUACUGAGGAGUUGGCACACCGAAACACAAACCGUAGAGACUGACUGACAUCCAGGCCCAUUUAUCAAGCAAGGAGACAGAGCACUGCCGGCUGCCUAUCUGUUUCAGUGAUGAUUGUGCUGUCCAGUCUUGAGAUAGUGUUGUCGACCAACCUCUCUCGUCUGCAGUUUUUUUUUUUAACCGCCCCCCCCUCCCCACCCUUUCUCAUAAUUGUUUAUACUGUGUUGUUGUCGUUUUGUCACAAAUGUUUCAGAUGUCACAUGUUUAUUUGACCAUUAUCAUGUCCAGUAUAUGAAAGUGUAUUUGCAUAUAUUCAUGCUGCAUUAUGUAUUUGUGUUGUGUGGUAGAUAUGCUACAGUGAGUGUGUAUUUCAUAGGCUUCUGAUACAAACGGAUAGUGUUGUUGUGCAGUUAUAGCAGAGGUUAGACUGCAUGGCCCUGGUCCUCUCUCAUGCAAAUCUCUCGAGUCUAUUUAUUAUCAGUCGUCCAGACCAAGCACUCUUUUCCUCCUUCUCCUUUUUUAUGCAAAUUGAUUUUGAAAUGACAUUUAUCGCGUUGGGUUUUCCACACGAAAGAGCUGCCACACCGGAGCCCAGACAACAAAAUGUCCACCGCUCUAGCGAGAGCUCAAUUUAUGCAUUGGAGGAGAGUGGGUCUCGAUAACAAUUACCACAGGCUCAAAUAGACCAUAACUGGGUUUUCCAUGUUAUCAUAUGUAUGUUAUAUGCCAUGAAUAUGUAUCAGUCAGUCCCCCUGGUCGGAUGCAGGGUGCAUUCUGAACCUUAACACCCAUGUAAAAUCCAUUUAAACACCAUUAUAGAAACUACUUAACUUAUAGAGCCUCACUCAAGAUUCCCCUCCAAAAUUUUUUAAAAUGUCUAUUAAAUGUCAUAAAAAAAUUAAUGUAUGGUAUUUAAUAUUCAAAAGGUUUUCGUUUUUUUUUUUUUUACAAGCAUUCUUUGUCUUUUAAGAAUAAUGAAAAAAUCAACAGCUAAACAACUGGUCUAUCAUACAAAUUAAUUAAACUAGCUGUACUAAUACCAUUUCUAUUAUUUAAAUGAAUACAGUUAUAUGUUAACUGCUUGGCUCGCUUGAUAAGAAAGAAACACCAGAAGCUUGGUUGACCCCAUAUUUCACCACUAUGGAAACUACAUAUCUGAUAAAGAUCAUAUCAGAAUGUACUUUUGGAUAUCACCUCCUGUAUUGGAUCUAAAUGAUUUCCGAGGGGGGGGGGGUAGACAUACGUCUAAUUUGUUGUGCUUCAAUGAAUCUCUGUAUUUUCUGUUUUGAAACAAACCAGGCCCUUGCUGCUGAACCAUUCUUUACCUAACCAUGAUCACGUGGUGUGGUCCAGAUCAAUUCAGCUGCUGAACCAUUCUUUACCUAACCAUGAUCACGUGGUGUGGCCCAGAUCAAUUCAGCUGCUGAACCAUUCUUUACCUAACCAUGAUCACGUGGUGUGGCCCAGAUCAAUUCAGCUGCUGAACCAUUCUUUACCUAACCAUGAUCACGUGGUGUGGUCCAGAUCAAUUCAGCUGCUGAACCAUUCUUUACCUAACCAUGAUCACGUGGUGUGGUCCUGAUCAAUUCAGCUGCUGAACCAUUCUUUACCUAACCAUGAUCACGUGGUGUGGUCCAGAUCAAUUCAGCUGCUGAACCAUUCGUUGCCUAUGCCUGCUUUUUGGAUGUUCUCUUGUCACGUUUACAUUACAUUACUAGUAGACAAUGUCAAUUAUCCCGAUAGACAGUAAGAAUGUCAGAGCCAAUAGUCAAAUGUCUAGAUUCAGUGAAUUGAGCAUGACAUGUAUUGCACACAUCUUAUUAAUACUAUUCUUAUUUUACAAGAAUAGUAUUAUAAAUUGAUCCCUUUAUAUUCUAGCAAUGUUCUGCUCUCCUACAAAGUGUACUUGCACGCAAAUUUGACGUUUAUACAUCUUUAAGUACGACUACAUUUGUUAUUAUAACUAAAGUAUUAACAUCCUUUAAAUUCACUAAAUAUGUUACAGUAAUAUACAUUGGAAAUCCAAUGACAUUAAAUCCAAUAGCUAUCUGAUAGUUUGCAUGAUUUCCUCUUUCAUUUAGGUGUGUUUCAUUCAGAGCGCAUCAUUACUUUAGUGAUAAAAUGUAUUACACAAACACAGCUGCAAUGUAAACUACAAUGCCAAUGACCCAUGUAUUGUAAAAGUGCCUUAUUCUAUAAAUAAAAUUUCACA
Oncorhynchus gorbuscha (pink salmon) is the source of this 3170-nucleotide long non-coding RNA. RefSeq lists it as uncharacterized. The transcript is spliced from 3 exons. The record is from RefSeq and is a predicted model, not a curated record. Lineage: Eukaryota; Metazoa; Chordata; Actinopteri; Salmoniformes; Salmonidae.